RNAcentral lists this ribosomal RNA (497 nucleotides) under uncultured bacterium. Its description in RNAcentral is "partial 16S ribosomal RNA". It matches the Rfam family "Bacterial small subunit ribosomal RNA", at positions 28 to 507 of the family's 1533-position model. The record is from RNAcentral.
GAUGAACGCUGGCGGCGUGCCUAAUACAUGCAAGUCGAGCGAACAGACGAGGAGCUUGCUCCUCUGACGUUAGCGGCGGACGGGUGAGUAACACGUGGAUAACCUACCUAUAAGACUGGGAUAACUUCGGGAAACCGGAGCUAAUACCGGAUAAUAUAUUGAACCGCAUGGUUCAAUAGUGAAAGACGGUUUUGCUGUCACUUAUAGAUGGAUCCGCGCCGCAUUAGCUAGUUGGUAAGGUAACGGCUUACCAAGGCAACGAUGCGUAGCCGACCUGAGAGGGUGAUCAGCCACACUGGAACUGAGACACGGUCCAGACUCCUACGGGAGGCAGCAGUAGGGAAUCUUCCGCAAUGGGCGAAAGCCUGACGGAGCAACGCCGCGUGAAUGAUGAAGGUCUUCGGAUCGUAAAACUCUGUUAUUAGGGAAGAACAAAUGUGUAAGUAACUAUGCACGUCUUGACGGUACCUAAUCAGAAAGCCACGGCUAACUACGUG